This 853-nucleotide long non-coding RNA is filed under the name Pongo abelii (Sumatran orangutan). Its description in RNAcentral is "lincRNA". Lineage: Eukaryota; Metazoa; Chordata; Mammalia; Primates; Hominidae. The record is from RNAcentral.
ACACCCUACCAGAGCAGCAUGUAGCAGGCCCCCGUGGAGGAUUAACACAGUGGCUCAACACCGGGAAGGAACUGGCUCUUGGAGUCCGGACAUCUGAAACUUGAAUUAACAAGCCAACAUCAGUCUCCAGAGUGAAUCCAAGGAGAGGACCCAAGACAUUCAUGUUCUGUGAUGUGGUGACAUGUUACCUGUCAUCUCUGAUGCACAACUCCUAAAGUGUUUGCAUCUGGGGCAGUUGUACAGAUUGCAGAAGCUAAUACUCAAGAUGUUCUCCAAGGCCAACUACUCAUCAGUUUAUUCAUGUUUCUGGGAUUGGAUUCAUGAACUCAUCCUUUGAACUAUUUCAACAAGCUUUUUCAUGUAACUAAUCUGCGGAAGGUAGAAAGGGUAAAACUGUUGGGUGCUAAAAUGACAACUGGUUCAAGAGCUCCCAAGAUGGUGGCGGGCCACUUCCAAAAUGGUGGCAGGCCACUUCCAAGAUGGUGGCAAGCCUCGCGUUCUCUGGCCUGGGGUUCUUGGCCUCACGGAUUCCAAGGAAUGGAAUCUUGGGCCAUGCAUCAAAAGAAGAAGGAAGAAGAAAGGGGAUAUAAUGAGAAUGAGGAGCAUCAGAUAAUUAGGCAGCAGUCCAACAAUUAGGUUUUGUGGAACUUUUACUAUGUCAUCUAUUUAUUGGAAUUCCCCCUGGAUACCAGGACCCCCUCCAGCAGAGCUUAAAGUUAUAGUGACAGGAAGUACAAAUUCCGUAUGUGGAUCCCUGGAAGUGUGAUGAGAGGAACCACUGUUUCCAAGAUCUAUUUAUUCUAUUUAUUAGGCCUAUAAAAUCAUGUAAUGACCAUGGCUUCAACUAGACUCU